AUUUGAUGUUAUGAUGUUUAUUAGGUGAUUUAGGAAAUAAUGAAAUUCAAUUGUAGGUUUAAAAUAUUUUCUUCUCAGGAAAAAAAAAUUAUCACAAUAGAUGCAUUUUUAAAAGAAAAAUAUUGAAGAUCAAGAAGUUGGAAAAGAUGGUCAAUCAUCUAUUUCAAACCAACACCUUGUUUGGAUUGGUGGAAAAGGGAGGGGAAGGAAAAUAACAAGGGGAAAAUAAGUUUGAAAGCACAUUUUCCCUUGUUUGGAGAGAAGAAGG
This 268-nucleotide unclassified non-coding RNA is filed under the name Hevea brasiliensis (rubber tree). The record is from RNAcentral. Lineage: Eukaryota; Viridiplantae; Streptophyta; Magnoliopsida; Malpighiales; Euphorbiaceae.